This 277-nucleotide ribosomal RNA is filed under the name Escherichia coli. Its description in RNAcentral is "partial 23S ribosomal RNA". It matches the Rfam family "Bacterial large subunit ribosomal RNA", at positions 919 to 1194 of the family's 2925-position model. The record is from RNAcentral. Lineage: Bacteria; Pseudomonadati; Pseudomonadota; Gammaproteobacteria; Enterobacterales; Enterobacteriaceae.
CAAGGGGGUCAUCCCGACUUACCAACCCGAUGCAAACUGCGAAUACCGGAGAAUGUUAUCACGGGAGACACACGGCGGGUGCUAACGUCCGUCGUGAAGAGGGAAACAACCCAGACCGCCAGCUAAGGUCCCAAAGUCAUGGUUAAGUGGGAAACGAUGUGGGAAGGCCCAGACAGCCAGGAUGUUGGCUUAGAAGCAGCCAUCAUUUAAAGAAAGCGUAAUAGCUCACUGGUCGAGUCGGCCUGCGCGGAAGAUGUAACGGGGCUAAACCAUGCAC